RNAcentral lists this ribosomal RNA (245 nucleotides) under uncultured bacterium. RNAcentral describes it as "partial 16S ribosomal RNA". It matches the Rfam family "Bacterial small subunit ribosomal RNA", at positions 524 to 768 of the family's 1533-position model. The record is from RNAcentral.
UACGUAGGAUGCAAACGUUACUCGAAUUUACUGGGCGUAAAGGGUGAGUAGGCGGGAUUAUAAGUCUAAGGUGAAAUACCGGGGCUCAACCCCGGAAACGCCUUAGAUACUGUGGUCCUUGAGUGAGACAGAGGGCGAUAGAAUUCCUGGUGUAAGGGUGGAAUCUGUAGAUAUCAGGAGGAAUACCGAUGGCGUAGGCAAUCGCCUGGGUCUCUACUGACGCUGAAUCACGAAAGCAAGGGGAU